GGUCAUGUAUAAAAUUGCUGGGCAGGCCAUUAUUUUGGCUACCAUGGCUAAGCCCCAAAUAGAAUGACAAGGUUUGAUGAGCAGGAAAACGAUAUUAACCAUAUGCUAUGGCCAUCUCAGUCACCAGAUCUCAACCCAACUGAACACUUACAGUAUGGGAGAUUCUGGAGCGGCGCCUGAGACAGCGUUUUCUACCACCAUCAAGAAAACACCAAAUGAUGGAAUUUGUCGUGGAAGAAGGGUGUCGCAUCCGUCCAAUAGAGGUCCAGACACUUGUAGAAUCUAUGCCAAGAUGCUUUGAAGCUGUUCAGCCUUGUGGUGGCAGUUACCUGUAUAUCUGUCUAUUUCUCAUUGUAAAGAUUAUAUAAAGAGGCAGAGAGGUCAAUCUGACCUUUGUACAGUAAGUACCAGCUUAACUCAGUAGGGUAGACUUCCUCUUUGAUCUUACCCAUAAUACAUUAGCUUACAAAGCAUUGCGUUGUGUAAUUGCUCUAUUUAAUUAAUUUAGGUCAUAACUAUCUGAAGAUACAAAUACAUAAAAAGCUUAGGUGUGGUAGAGGCGCAGGGACCACAUAGUGACAUUUGAGUAGAUAGAUAAAGAUUAUGAUAUUGGUCAAUGACUGUCAGAUAAGAGGAUCUUAUAACAUUUCCAACAGAAUUAUGACACAACACAGGACCGACACAAAUUGAAAUGUUGAGUUUAAUUUAUGUGACAUCGCAGUGAUCUAAAAUGACAUAAAUAUUCAGUAUCUACCCAGAUCUGAGUUCCGAGCUGCUGAAACAGAGGGUGACCUACAACGGGGUGAAAUCCCAGCUACGCAAGCUAAACCUGAGAUGCGGCUUCAUUCACCCGGCAAAACUCCUCUUGACCUUCCAGAAUACAACACACGCGCUUUCCACUGCCAAGGAGGCUCAAAACUUCUUGGAGAAACACCUCAAGCCCAACACACAAGGGGACGAGCUGACAGAUCUAGGCUAACCCCAAUUUGACUGGCUCAAUAUUCAGGUAUACAGACGAGGAGGCAUACAAAGGUAUGUCAAUUGGUAUUGCUAUGUAAUGCAGAUCACAUUUACCAUCCCUCUCCCUUGCCUCUUCAAUGAAUAUCCCAGAGGCCUCUACAUUAUGGACAAGACUUCACCCUCCUUACAUGUCUGAUGAAUAUAACAGGAAACCUGUUUUAUCACGUUGCACUGCAAAACCAUUCUGGCUGUGGAUACGGAGAACAUCAACACAUUAACAUCAACAAGCCAGAGGAUAAACCCAUUGGACUUGGGGCUCUACUGGGA
Molecule: long non-coding RNA, 1287 nt
Organism: Salvelinus namaycush (lake trout)
Lineage: Eukaryota; Metazoa; Chordata; Actinopteri; Salmoniformes; Salmonidae
Exons: 3
Source: RefSeq, a predicted model, not a curated record